Molecule: unclassified non-coding RNA, 311 nt
Filed under: plant metagenome
Description: partial contains 5.8S ribosomal RNA, internal transcribed spacer 2, and large subunit ribosomal RNA
Rfam family: 5.8S ribosomal RNA (bases 1-105)
Source: RNAcentral
GAAAUGCGAUAAGUAAUGUGAAUUGCAGAAUUCCGUGAAUCAUCGAAUCUUUGAACGCACAUUGCGCCCUCUGGCAUUCCGGGGGGCAUGCCUGUCCGAGCGUCAUUACGCACCCUCAAGCCCGGCUUGUGUGAUGGGCCCCGGCGUCUCGUUCGCGAGACGGGCCGAAAGGCAGCGGCGGCGUCGACCCGAUGAGCCCGAGCGUAUGGGGACUUCUGUCACACGUUCGCGGUGCGGACCGGCGCCUGCUUGACUUUUCUGAUUAUCCAGGUUGACCUCGGAUCAGGUAGGGAUACCCGCUGAACUUAAGC